AAUCCCAAUAAAUUUCAUUCACUCCGCAUACUCAAUCCUAUAGACACCCUUUUAAUUCUUCAAUCACAGACAUAACUCGAUUUCACAAAACAGUCAAGAGUAAUCAAACCCACUUCAUUAAAAAAUCCUGAUUCACCAUUACAACACUGACUUCAGCAACGAUUGCCUCAGUCUUCCCAAAACCCUAUGAAGAAGAAAAAUCCAAUUCUCCG
This 212-nucleotide long non-coding RNA is filed under the name Physcomitrium patens. RNAcentral's name for it is "long non-coding RNA (PPAT_LNC002437)". Lineage: Eukaryota; Viridiplantae; Streptophyta; Bryopsida; Funariales; Funariaceae. The record is from RNAcentral.